Gasterosteus aculeatus aculeatus (three-spined stickleback) is the source of this 252-nucleotide long non-coding RNA. The record is from Ensembl. Lineage: Eukaryota; Metazoa; Chordata; Actinopteri; Perciformes; Gasterosteidae.
GGAUGACUCCCGCUUCCAGCACUACUUUAGGCUAACCAGUAGCCAGUUUUUAUAACCUGUUUGGUUGGAUCGGAGCCAGGAUCUCUCGGUUGGACACCACCUACAGGCGUUCAAUCUCAGCUGUGGAACACCUAUCUGUCUCUGGAUGCUGGUGAAGACACUGUUUCACAGGACCUUGCAAUACAAAAGAUGAAAAUCUACAGGAACAAGACGAACACGUCGGAGUCCAGACGCCGGUAUCAUGUUGGACGU